This is a long non-coding RNA of Apis cerana (Asiatic honeybee), 1979 nucleotides long. RefSeq lists it as uncharacterized. Lineage: Eukaryota; Metazoa; Arthropoda; Insecta; Hymenoptera; Apidae. The record is from RefSeq and is a predicted model, not a curated record.
AGAUUGGCCAGUCAGGCAAGCAGCCAGCCAGCGAACAAGCCAGCGAACAACUCGCCCGCCCUCCCCUUUCACCCUACCUAAAGUAGGGGGAUGACGGACUACGGUGAAGCCACAAACUAAUUACGACCCGGGGCGCCGUCGAGAGUAGAGGCGCCGGUGGCUCGCUGGGGAUUGUCCGGGUCGCGAGGAAGAGGAAAAGAGGAAGAGGAAAGAGAGGCAGGGGCGCGGGCGCGAAGGUGGAGAAGGAUGAUGAGGAGAGGAGGUGAAAAGGAGGGACAGCGUUGGUGGACACCGUCCUCGAGGUUCCGUCGGUUUCUGUAAUUGAGAAAAGUUGAGGACGGAUAGCCGUGCAGGAAUAAGAUGGAUGGAGGAGAAAAUGGCGUUUUAAAGAUGUAACGAAAGUAUCGGUGUAGUAUCUUAAACAGAAAUUGGAACGUAUAUACUCGAGAUCAAGAGGAAUAUACGUAUUUUUUUAAAAAAAUUUUUUUGAAAAUUUAGCAUCGUAACGAGUAUAAUACUCAACAAGUAGAAUCGACAACAAAUUGAGGAAAAAAUAACGAUCGGAAACAGUGAUUGGCCGAAUUACCAAAAGAAUUAUCCAAUGUUCGAGAAGAGAUAAAAAUCGGGGGUAAAUAAACGAGUAAGUGAAUAAGUGAUUCGAUCGAUGAGCGAGCAUGAGAAAAACAGAGAAAAACGGGAGGGGAGGAGACAGAUGCGAGAACGAGAAAGGAAAAAGAAAAAGAAAGAAAAGAAGAAUGGAUUGAUGCAGAAAGAAUAUAUAUAUAUGUGAUAAGAAAAUAUGGAGCCAGAAAGGUUGAAGGAUAAGGAGGAUGGUGGCGAACGGCAUACAAAGGAAGCGGAUCGCUUUUUUUCGUGAACAUGCAAAACGGUCCGGGGAGGGGGCAAAGUGAACCACGUUGCUCCACGUUUGGAACGUAUCCUGAUCGAUUAUGCAAAUUUUCUCUCCACCGCGAGGUAAGAGGGUUCUCAGACACGGAUGGCAAGACCGGUCACGCACUGCACGUCUUUGAAUUCGAAUUAUCAGGCUGGAUGCCGAGCCAAAGUAACCCUUGUCUUUGAGUUUCGCUAAACUCCACUUUCCAUAAUGUAACCAAGAGGAGAAGAUAGCCGAAAGAUAUAUAUUUAUAGCUCGUAUCUCUUGGCGACACCCGUGGUCUCCGUAAAAUUGCUCGUCUACGAACGAAGAAAACGAACGAAUUGUAUCGAAUUAUUAUCCCCCUUUUGCUCGCUCAUCUUCUCGUGGACGAAAUCGUGGUUGGAUUUCGACGGGGAGAUUCGGCGCGAGUUCAUCGAGCUUUAUAAACACGUGUACAGGGAAACGAGGAUGGUCCACUGUUCGUGCCGUGAUUGCACCAGAUCGCAAAUUACCGAUAUCAGGCCAAUAUUGCGAUAAAUGACGUCCUGCCCUCCAUGCCUUCGAUAAUACGAUUACGCGCGAUAUCGCGGGUAAUCGCGUACGCGAUGAAUCGAUCUUUAUUGAAAAAAAGAGGGAGGGGGAGGGGGAAAGUGGAAAAAUCAUCCUGCAAAUUGCAUUACGACACGAUUGCGAAAUCGACGAGGGAGAAAAUAUUUUUUUCAGGGGGAGAAUUAGCAAUAGAUUGAACUUAAUUAGAAGCGUCUCGCUGCGGUUAUUAAUUAUAUAUAAUCGGAAACGAUAUACGGGGAAUAGGAAUUAAAUACUCGCGUGAUAUUACUCGAAUAUUUCUAUCCAUUUUUACGUAACCGGAAUCGUUCCAGUUUUGUUGCAUAAACGGUGUUGUGCGGAGACUCGUCCAAAAAAAUUCGAUAUGGAAUAUCUUUGUUACGUUUUGCAUAUUUUAUUCGAAAAACAUUAAUGAUUUAUUGUUAUUAGACUGUCGGUGGUUAUGGAUAAAAUUUAAAUGUACAGAAAAAUUCGAAAUAUUCGAAAUGCAAUGUUCAUUACGAUAUUUGAAUAAGCUCUCCGUUUCUUUAGUCGU